UGCAGUCGNACGCUUGCUUUNNGCANCGGAGCUUGCUCCACCGGAAAAAGAGGAGUGGCGAACGGGUGAGUAACACGUGGGUAACCUGCCCAUCAGAAGGGGAUAACACUUGGAAACAGGUGCUAAUACCGUAUAACAAUCGAAACCGCAUGGUUUUGAUUUGAAAGGCGCUUUCGGGUGUCGCUGAUGGAUGGACCCGCGGUGCAUUAGCUAGUUGGUGAGGUAACGGCUCACCAAGGCGACGAUGCAUAGCCGACCUGAGAGGGUGAUCGGCCACAUUGGGACUGAGACACGGCCCAAACUCCUACGGGAGGCAGCAGUAGGGAAUCUUCGGCAAUGGACGAAAGUCUGACCGAGCAACGCCGCGUGAGUGAAGAAGGUUUUCGGAUCGUAAAACUCUGUUGUUAGAGAAGAACAAGGAUGAGAGUAACUGUUCAUCCCUUGACGGUAUCUAACCAGAAAGCCACGGCUAACUACGUGCCAGCAGCCGCGGUAAUACGUAGGUGGCAAGCGUUGUCCGGAUUUAUUGGGCGUAAAGCGAGCGCAGGCGGUUUCUUAAGUCUGAUGUGAAAGCCCCCGGCUCAACCGGGGAGGGUCAUUGGAAACUGGGAGACUUGAGUGCAGAAGAGGAGAGUGGAAUUCCAUGUGUAGCGGUGAAAUGCGUAGAUAUAUGGAGGAACACCAGUGGCGAAGGCGGCUCUCUGGUCUGUAACUGACGCUGAGGCUCGAAAGCGUGGGGAGCAAACAGGAUUAGAUACCCUGGUAGUCCACGCCGUAAACGAUGAGUGCUAAGUGUUGGAGGGUUUCCGCCCUUCAGUGCUGCAGCUAACGCAUUAAGCACUCCGCCUGGGGGAGUACGNCCCGCAAGGUUGANACUNCAAAGGAAUUGANCGGNGGCC
RNAcentral lists this ribosomal RNA (899 nucleotides) under Enterococcus sp. N495PBVM01_16S_27f. RNAcentral describes it as "bacterial SSU rRNA". It matches the Rfam family "Bacterial small subunit ribosomal RNA", at positions 56 to 922 of the family's 1533-position model. Lineage: Bacteria; Bacillati; Bacillota; Bacilli; Lactobacillales; Enterococcaceae. The record is from RNAcentral.